RNAcentral lists this ribosomal RNA (468 nucleotides) under uncultured bacterium. RNAcentral describes it as "partial 16S ribosomal RNA". It matches the Rfam family "Bacterial small subunit ribosomal RNA", at positions 28 to 507 of the family's 1533-position model. The record is from RNAcentral.
GACGAACGCUGGCGGCGUGCUUAACACAUGCAAGUCGAACGGAAAGGCCCUGCUUUUGUGGGGUGCUCGAGUGGCGAACGGGUGAGUAACACGUGAGUAACCUGCCCUGGACGUGGGGAUAACUGCAGGAAACUGGGGCUAAUACCUGAUAGGAGCUCCUGCUGCAUGGGGGGGGUUGGAAAGUUUCGGCGGUUGGGGAUGGACUCGCGGCUUAUCAGCUUGUUGGUGGGGUAGUGGCUUACCAAGGCUUUGACGGGUAGCCGGCCUGAGAGGGUGACCAGCCACAUUGGGACUGAGAUACGGCCCAGACUCCUACGGGAGGCAGCAGUGGGGAAUAUUGCACAAUGGGCGGAAGCCUGAUGCAGCAACGCCGCGUUCGGGAUGACGGCCUUCGUGUUGUAAACCGCUUUCGCCUGUGACGAAGCGUGAGUGACGGUAAUGGGUAAAGAAGCACCGGCUAACUACGUG